RNAcentral lists this ribosomal RNA (497 nucleotides) under uncultured bacterium. RNAcentral's name for it is "partial 16S ribosomal RNA". It matches the Rfam family "Bacterial small subunit ribosomal RNA", at positions 28 to 507 of the family's 1533-position model. The record is from RNAcentral.
GAUGAACGCUGGCGGCGUGCCUAAUACAUGCAAGUCGAGCGAACAGAUAAGGAGCUUGCUCCUUUGACGUUAGCGGCGGACGGGUGAGUAACACGUGGAUAACCUACCUAUAAGACUGGGGUAACUUCGGGAAACCGGAGCUAAUACCGGAUAACAUAUUGAACCGCAUGGUUCAAUAGUGAAAGGCGGCUUUGCUGUCACUUAUAGAUGGAUCCGCGCCGUAUUAGCUAGUUGGUAAGGUAACGGCUUACCAAGGCAACGAUACGUAGCCGACCUGAGAGGGUGAUCGGCCACACUGGAACUGAGACACGGUCCAGACUCCUACGGGAGGCAGCAGUAGGGAAUCUUCCGCAAUGGGCGAAAGCCUGACGGAGCAACGCCGCGUGAGUGAUGAAGGUCUUCGGAUCGUAAAACUCUGUUAUCAGGGAAGAACAAAUGUGUAAGUAACUGUGCACAUCUUGACGGUACCUGAUCAGAAAGCCACGGCUAACUACGUG